GCCGGGCGUGGUGGCCUGCGCCUGUAAUCCCAGCUACUCGGGAGGCUGAGACAGGAGAAUCGCUUGGACCCAGGAGGGGGAGGUUGCAGUGAGCCGAGGUCGCGCCACUGCACUCCAGCCUGGGCCACAGAGCGAGACUCUGUCUCGA
RNAcentral lists this signal recognition particle RNA (148 nucleotides) under Nomascus leucogenys (northern white-cheeked gibbon). RNAcentral's name for it is "Metazoan signal recognition particle RNA". It matches the Rfam family "Metazoan signal recognition particle RNA". Rfam says of the family: The signal recognition particle (SRP) is a universally conserved ribonucleoprotein. Lineage: Eukaryota; Metazoa; Chordata; Mammalia; Primates; Hylobatidae. The record is from Rfam by way of RNAcentral.